GUAGGUGGCAAGCGUUGUCCGGAAUUAUUGGGCGUAAAGCGCGCGCAGGUGGUUCGUUUAAGUCUGAUGUGAAAGACCCCCGGGCUCAACCGGGGAGGGUCAUUGGAAACUGGGGAACUUGAGUGCAGGAGAGGAAAGUGGAAUUCCACGUGUAGCGGUGAAAUGCGUAGAUAUGUGGAGGAACACCAGUGGCGAAGGCGACUUUCUGGCCUGUAACUGACACUGAGGCGCGAAAGCGUGGGGAGCAAACAGGAUUAGAUACCCUGGUAGUCCACGCCGUAAACGAUGAGUGCUAAGUGUUGGGGGGGUUUCCGCCCCUCAGUGCUGCAGCUAACGCAUUAAGCACUCCGCCUGGGGAGUACGGUCGCAAAGACUG
RNAcentral lists this ribosomal RNA (376 nucleotides) under uncultured organism. Its description in RNAcentral is "partial 16S ribosomal RNA". It matches the Rfam family "Bacterial small subunit ribosomal RNA", at positions 527 to 896 of the family's 1533-position model. The record is from RNAcentral.